CCUUCUCUGCGGAAUAGCCACUGGAAACGGUGAGUAAUACCGCAUACGCCCUUCGGGGGAAAGAUUUAUCGGUGAAGGAUCGGCCCGCGUUAGAUUACAUAGUUGGUGGGGUAACGGCCUACCAAGUCUACGAUCUAUAGCUGGUUUUAGAGGAUGAUCAGCAACACUGGGACUGAUACACGGCCCAGACUCCUACGGGAGGCAGCAGUGGGGAAUCUUGGACAAUGGGCGCAAGCCUGAUCCAGCCAUGCCGCGUGAGUGAUGAAGGCCUUAGGGUCGUAAAGCUCUUUCGCCAGAGAUGAUAAUGACAGUAUCUGGUAAAGAAACCCCGGCUAACUCCGUGCCAGCAGCCGCGGUAAUACGGAGGGGGUUAGCGUUGUUCGGAAUUACUGGGCGUAAAGCGCACGUAGGCGGAUCAGAAAGUUGGGGGUGAAAUCCCGGGGCUCAACCCCGGAACUGCCUCCAAAACUCCUGGUCUUGAGUUCGAGAGAGGUGAGUGGAAUUCCGAGUGUAGAGGUGAAAUUCGUAGAUAUUCGGAGGAACACCAGUGGCGAAAGGCGGCUCACUGGCUCGAUACUGACGCUGAGGUGCGAAAGUGUGGGGAG
RNAcentral lists this ribosomal RNA (605 nucleotides) under Marinovum algicola. RNAcentral describes it as "bacterial SSU rRNA". It matches the Rfam family "Bacterial small subunit ribosomal RNA", at positions 130 to 768 of the family's 1533-position model. Lineage: Bacteria; Pseudomonadati; Pseudomonadota; Alphaproteobacteria; Rhodobacterales; Roseobacteraceae. The record is from RNAcentral.